RNAcentral lists this ribosomal RNA (498 nucleotides) under uncultured bacterium. Its description in RNAcentral is "partial 16S ribosomal RNA". It matches the Rfam family "Bacterial small subunit ribosomal RNA", at positions 356 to 870 of the family's 1533-position model. The record is from RNAcentral.
GGGGAAUAUUGGACAAUGGGGGCAACCCUGAUCCAGCAAUGCCGCGUGUGUGAAGAAGGUCUUCGGAUUGUAAAGCACUUUCGACGGGGACGAUGAUGACGGUACCCGUAGAAGAAGCCCCGGCUAACUUCGUGCCAGCAGCCGCGGUAAUACGAAGGGGGCUAGCGUUGCUCGGAAUGACUGGGCGUAAAGGGCGUGUAGGCGGUUUACACAGUCAGAUGUGAAAUCCCCGGGCUUAACCUGGGAGCUGCAUUUGAUACGUGUAGACUAGAGUGUGAGAGAGGGUUGUGGAAUUCCCAGUGUAGAGGUGAAAUUCGUAGAUAUUGGGAAGAACACCGGUGGCGAAGGCGGCAACCUGGCUCAUGACUGACGCUGAGGCGCGAAAGCGUGGGGAGCAAACAGGAUUAGAUACCCUGGUAGUCCACGCUGUAAAACGAUGUGUGCUAGAUGUUGGGUAACUUUGUUAUUCAGUGUCGCAGUUAACGCGUUAAGCACACC